GAUGAAUGCUGGCGGCGUGCCUAACACAUGCAAGUCGAGCGGCAGCGAGGGGUGCUUGCACCCUGUCGGCGAGCGGCGAACGGCUGAGUAACGCGUAGGAAUUUGCCCCAAAGUGAGGAAUAACUGCCCGAAAGGGUAGCUAAUGCCGCAUAUGGUCUUCGGAUUAAAGGAUUUAUCCGCUUUGGGAGAAGCCUGCGUUGGAUUAGGUUGUUGGUAGGGUAAUGGCCUACCAAGCCGACGAUCCAUAGCUGGUCUGAGAGGAUGAUCAGCCAGACUGGAACUGAGACACAGUCCAGACUCCUACGGGAGGCAGCAGUGAGGAAUCUUCCACAAUGGGCGAAAGCCUGAUGGAGCAACGCCGCGUGAAGGAUGAAGGCCUUCGGGUUGUAAACUUCUUUUAUGAGUGAAGAAUAUGACGGUAACUCGUGAAUAAGCACCGGCUAACUACGUG
RNAcentral lists this ribosomal RNA (451 nucleotides) under uncultured bacterium. RNAcentral describes it as "partial 16S ribosomal RNA". It matches the Rfam family "Bacterial small subunit ribosomal RNA", at positions 28 to 507 of the family's 1533-position model. The record is from RNAcentral.